AAGGGUAUAGCUCAGUGGUAAGCACAUACCUAUCAUGCAUGAUGUCCUGGGUUCAAUCCCCAGUACCUCCA
Molecule: transfer RNA, 71 nt
Filed under: Camelus bactrianus (Bactrian camel)
Lineage: Eukaryota; Metazoa; Chordata; Mammalia; Artiodactyla; Camelidae
Also listed under: 2 other names
Rfam family: tRNA
About the family: Transfer RNA (tRNA) molecules are approximately 80 nucleotides in length. Their secondary structure includes four short double-helical elements and three loops (D, anti-codon, and T loops).
Source: Rfam by way of RNAcentral